ACUUCUCUUUAAAAGCACCACAUUUCAACUGAAACCAAUUCCUUGGAUUAGUAAUGAGAAUGUUGGCCGUCAAGAGAAGGAGAGAAUUGCAGUUUAAAUGGGUGAGACCAAGGAGGGCCUCUUUCUUAAUGCCCAAUGUCUUGUGUCUCAAUCCAAACUGCUACAUUU
This is a non-coding RNA of Nematostella vectensis (starlet sea anemone), 168 nucleotides long. Lineage: Eukaryota; Metazoa; Cnidaria; Anthozoa; Actiniaria; Edwardsiidae. The record is from Rfam.